Molecule: transfer RNA, 66 nt
Filed under: Paraphysomonas imperforata
Lineage: Eukaryota; Chrysophyceae; Chromulinales; Paraphysomonadaceae
Source: RNAcentral
GAAGAAUAGUUUAAUUGGUAAAGUAUUAGCCUUCAAAAAUAGUUUUGAAUUUUCAAGUUUUUCUUU